This 495-nucleotide ribosomal RNA is filed under the name uncultured bacterium. RNAcentral describes it as "partial 16S ribosomal RNA". It matches the Rfam family "Bacterial small subunit ribosomal RNA", at positions 28 to 507 of the family's 1533-position model. The record is from RNAcentral.
GACGAACGCUGGCGGCGUGCCUAAUACAUGCAAGUAGAACGCUGAAGGAGGAGCUUGCUUCUCUGGAUGAGUUGCGAACGGGUGAGUAACGCGUAGGUAACCUGCCUGGUAGCGGGGGAUAACUAUUGGAAACGAUAGCUAAUACCGCAUAAUAGCAGUUGUUGUAUGACAACUGUUUGAAAGGUGCAAUUGCACCACUACCAGAUGGACCUGCGUUGUAUUAGCUAGUUGGUGGGGUAACGGCUCACCAAGGCGACGAUACAUAGCCGACCUGAGAGGGGGAUCGGCCACACUGGGACUGAGACACGGCCCAGACUCCUACGGGAGGCAGCAGUAGGGAAUCUUCGGCAAUGGACGGAAGGCUGACCGAGCAACGCCGCGUGAGUGAAGAAGGUUUUCGGAUCGUAAAGCUCUGUUGUAAGAGAAGAACGAGUGUGAGAGUGGAAAGUUCACACUGUGACGGUAUCUUACCAGAAAGGGACGGCUAACUACGUG